Molecule: ribosomal RNA, 440 nt
Filed under: uncultured bacterium
Lineage: Bacteria
Description: bacterial SSU rRNA
Rfam family: Bacterial small subunit ribosomal RNA
Source: RNAcentral
CCUACGGGGGGCAGCAGUGGGGAAUAUUGCACAAUGGGGGAAACCCUGAUGCAGCGACGCCGCGUGAGUGAAGAAGUAUUUCGGUAUGUAAAGCUCUAUCAGCAGGGAAGAAAAUGACGGUACCUGACUAAGAAGCCCCGGCUAACUACGUGCCAGCAGCCGCGGUAAUACGUAGGGGGCAAGCGUUAUCCGGAUUUACUGGGUGUAAAGGGAGCGUAGGUGGUUCGAUAAGUCAGAUGUGAAAGCCCGGGGCUCAACUCCGGGACUGCAUUUGAAACUAUCGAACCAGAGUGCAGGAGAGGUAAGUGGAAUUCCUAGUGUAGCGGUGAAAUGCGUAGAUAUUAGGAGGAACACCAGUGGCGAAGGCGGCUUACUGGACUGUAACUGACGCUGAGGCACGAAAGCGUGGGGAGCGAACAGGAUUAGAUACCCCGGUAGUC